AUUGAACGCUGGCGGAAUGCUUUACACAUGCAAGUCGAGCGGCAGCACGGACUUCGGUCUGGUGGCGAGUGGCGAACGGGUGAGUAAUGUAUCGGACCGUGCCCAGUCGUGGGGGAUAACGUAGUGAAAAUUACGCUAAUACCGCAUACGAUCUAUGGAUGAAAGCGGGGGAUCGCAAGACCUCGCGCGAUUGGAGCGGCCGAUAUCAGAUUAGGUAGUUGGUGGGGUAAGGGCCCACCAAGCCAACGAUCUGUAGCAGGUCUGAGAGGACGACCAGCCACACUGGAACUGAGACACGGUCCAGACUCCGACGGGAGGCAGCAGUGGGGAAUUUUGGACAAUGGGCGAAAGCCUGAUCCAGCCAUUCCGCGUGCAGGAUGAAGGCCCUCGGGUUGUAAACUGCUUUUGUACAGAACGAAAAGGUUUCUACUAAUACUAGGAGCUCAUGACGGUACUGUAAGAAUAAGCACCGGCUAACUACGUGCCAGCCGCCGCAGUAA
Molecule: ribosomal RNA, 500 nt
Filed under: uncultured bacterium
Lineage: Bacteria
Description: partial 16S ribosomal RNA
Rfam family: Bacterial small subunit ribosomal RNA
Source: RNAcentral